This 475-nucleotide ribosomal RNA is filed under the name uncultured Bacteriovoracaceae bacterium. RNAcentral's name for it is "bacterial SSU rRNA". It matches the Rfam family "Bacterial small subunit ribosomal RNA", at positions 29 to 505 of the family's 1533-position model. Lineage: Bacteria; Pseudomonadati; Bdellovibrionota; Bacteriovoracia; Bacteriovoracales; Bacteriovoracaceae. The record is from RNAcentral.
AACGAACGCUGGUGGCAUGCCUAAUACAUGCAAGUCGAACGAGAAAGCUCUUCGGAGUGAGUACAGUGGCGCACGGGUGAGUAACGCGUAGGUAACGUGCCUUGUAGUGGGGGACAACACCGGGAAACCGGUGCUAAUACCGCAUAAGCAAGUAAUUGGAAAGGUGGCUUCGGCUAUCGCUACAAGAUCGGCCUGCGUGACAUUAGCUUGAUGGUGGGGUAAUGGCCUACCAUGGCGACGAUGUCUAGCUGGUCUGAGAGGAUGAUCAGUCACACUGGAACUGAGACACGGUCCAGACUCCUACGGGAGGCAGCAGUAGGGAAUAUUGCGCAAUGGGGGAAACCCUGACGCAGCAAUGCCACGUGAGUGAGGAAGGCCUUAGGGUUGUAAAGCUCUGUCCUAUAGGAAGAAUGGCCAUCUGGUUAAUACCCAUUUGGUUUGACGGUACUAUAGAAGAAAGCACCGGCUAACUCCG